RNAcentral lists this ribosomal RNA (432 nucleotides) under uncultured bacterium. Its description in RNAcentral is "partial 16S ribosomal RNA". It matches the Rfam family "Bacterial small subunit ribosomal RNA", at positions 29 to 506 of the family's 1533-position model. The record is from RNAcentral.
AACGAACGCUGGCGGCAGGCCUAACACAUGCAAGUCGAGCGCGCCCUUCGGGGUGAGCGGCGGACGGGGGAGUAACGCGUGGGAACGUUCCCUUUUCUACGGAAUAGCUUCGGGAAACUGAGAGUAAUACCGUAUACGCCCUUUGGGGGAAAGAUUUAUCGGAAAAGGAUCGGCCCGCGUUGGAUUAGGUAGUUGGGGGGGUAAUGGCCUACCAAGCCGACGAUCCAUAGCUGGGUUGAGAGGAUGAUCAGCCACACUGGGACUGAGACACGGCCCAGACUCCUACGGGAGGCAGCAGUGGGGAAUCUUAAACAAUGGGGGCAACCCUGAUCUAGCCAUGCCGCGUGAGUGAUGAAUGCGUUAGGGUUGUAAAGCUCUUUCACCUGGGAAGAUAAUGACGGUACCAGCAGAAGAAGCCCCGGCUACCUCCGU